Molecule: ribosomal RNA, 690 nt
Filed under: uncultured organism
Description: bacterial SSU rRNA
Rfam family: Bacterial small subunit ribosomal RNA
Source: RNAcentral
AGGUCUAGUGGCGAACGGGUGCGUAACAGGUAGGUAACGUGCCCUGUGCGUCGGGAUAGCGACUCGAGAGGGGCGAUAAUACCGGAUGCUGUCAUUGAGCGACAGUUCAAUGAUGAAAGGGUAACCGGCACAGGAGCGGCCUGCCUCCUAUCAGCUUGUUGGUGAGGUAAAAGCUCACCAAGGCAACGACGGGUAGCGGGACUGAGAGGUUGACCCGCCACAUCGGGACUGAGACACUGCCCGGAGCCCCACGGGGGGCUGCAGUAACGAAUCUUCCACAAUGGGCGAAAGCCUGAUGGAGCGACGCCGCGUGCGGGAAGAAGUCCUUCGGGAUGUAAACCGCUGUCAGGGACAAGAAACUCCCGGUUCGCCGGGAUUGAUCUACCCCUGAGGAAGUCACGGCUAACUUCGUGCCAGCAGCCGCGGUAAGACGAAGGUGGCUAGCGUUGUUCGGUAUCACUGGGCUUAAAGGGUAUGUAGGCGGAAUGGAAAGCGUCGUGUGAAAGCCCUCGGCUUAACCGAGGAAUUGCUCGGCGAACUUCCAUUCUUGAGGCAAACAGGGGUGCGCGGAACUCUUGGUGGAGCGGUGGAAUGCGUAGAUAUCAAGAGGAACGCCGGUGGCGAAAGCGGCGCACUAGGUUUGCACUGACGCUGAAGUACGAAAGCGUGGGGAGCGAACGGGAUUAGAUA